This is a non-coding RNA of Caenorhabditis elegans, 47 nucleotides long. NCBI's taxonomy places the organism in Eukaryota, Metazoa, Nematoda, Chromadorea, Rhabditida, Rhabditidae. The record is from Rfam.
CCAACGGCCCUCUUUAGGGCCACAAUACAUCUAAAAUCCAUCAGUUG